Ahaetulla prasina is the source of this 285-nucleotide long non-coding RNA. RefSeq lists it as uncharacterized. The transcript is spliced from 3 exons. The record is from RefSeq and is a predicted model, not a curated record. Lineage: Eukaryota; Metazoa; Chordata; Lepidosauria; Squamata; Colubridae.
GUUUUUCUUCCCCACACCUCCCAAAUUGUAACCCGAGAUGUCGAAUCAAGUCAGCCAACAUAAACAAGAGAUCAGAAGGAGCUCCACCAGUGACCGAAAAGGUCUCAACAUCUUUUUUACAUCGUGGUGACCAAAACUGGAUGCCAUAUUCCAAGUGUGCCCUUACCAAGGCAUUAUAAAAUUAAAACUGCAGCAGCCUGAAAAAUGACACAAAGAGACUGAAGCACAAGGGAGGAGAAAGUUUCAGUGUGUAGCAAAGCAAUGGAAAAAAUGCUCAGCUGUAUC